Molecule: ribosomal RNA, 305 nt
Filed under: uncultured bacterium
Lineage: Bacteria
Description: bacterial SSU rRNA
Rfam family: Bacterial small subunit ribosomal RNA
Source: RNAcentral
AUCUACCUACGGGGCGCAGCAGUGAGGAAUAUUGGUCAAUGGGAGAGAUCCUGAACCAGCCAAGCCGCGUGAGGGAAGACGGCCCUAUGGAUUGUAAACCUCUUUUGCCGGGGAGCAAAAAGCGGUACGUGUACCGCAUCGAGAGUACCCGGAGAAAAAGCAUCGGCUAACUCCGUGCCAGCAGCCGCGGUAAUACGGAGGAUGCGAGCGUUAUCCGGAUUUAUUGGGUUUAAAGGGUGCGCAGGCGGCGAGUUAAGUCAGCGGUAAAAUUUCGGGGCUCAACCCCGACGAGCCGUUGAAACUGG